Molecule: ribosomal RNA, 501 nt
Filed under: uncultured fungus
Lineage: Eukaryota; Fungi
Description: eukaryotic LSU rRNA
Rfam family: 5.8S ribosomal RNA (bases 182-335)
Source: RNAcentral
CAUUACAAGAAGCCGAAAGGCUACUUAAAACCAUCGCGAACUUAUCCAAGUUGCUUCGGCGGCGCGGCUCCCCUCACGGGGUGCCGCAGCCCCGCCUCUCCGGAGGUGACGGGCACCCGCCGGAGGUACGAAACUCUAUUGUAUUAUAGUGGCAUCUCUGAGUAAAAAACAAAUAAGUUAAAACUUUCAACAACGGAUCUCUUGGUUCUGGCAUCGAUGAAGAACGCAGCGAAAUGCGAUAAGUAAUGUGAAUUGCAGAAUUCAGUGAAUCAUCGAAUCUUUGAACGCACAUUGCGCCCGCUAGUACUCUAGCGGGCAUGCCUGUUCGAGCGUCAUUUCAACCCUCAAGCUCUGCUUGGUGUUGGGGCCCUACGUCUGACGUAGGCCCUGAAAGGAAGUGGCGGGCUCGCUACAACUCCGAGCGUAGUAAUUCAUUAUCUCGCUAGGGAGGUGCGGCGUGCUCCUGCCGUUAAAGACCCCAUCUUUAACCAAAGGUGACCU